RNAcentral lists this ribosomal RNA (2892 nucleotides) under human gut metagenome. RNAcentral describes it as "bacterial LSU rRNA". It matches the Rfam family "Bacterial large subunit ribosomal RNA". The record is from RNAcentral.
UUAAGUAGGAAAGGGCGUACGGUGAAUGCCUGGCCACCUGGGACUGAAGAAGGACGCACCAAACGGCGAAACGCUGCGGGGAGCUGUAAGGAAGCAAAGAUCCGCAGAUAUCCGAAUGGGGGAACCCGUCAUCCAGGAGGGAUGACACCGGAUACCGAACACAUAGGUAUCACGGGAGGAACUCGGGGAACUGAAACAUCUAAGUACCCGAAGGAAAAGAAAACAAAAGUGAUUUCCUGAGUAGCGGCGAGCGAAAGGGAAGCAGCCCAAACCGUUUUUAGGAACGGGGUUGAAGGACCACGAUAACAUCAAGAGCGAGUCUAGUGGAAUGACAUGGAAAGGUCAGCCGAAGAGGGUGAGGGCCCCGUAGACGAAAGAUGAGCGAAGGUGAGUGGGAUCCUGAGUACGGCAGGACACGAGGAAUCCGGUCGGAAGCAGGCGGGACCAUCCGUCAAGGCUAAAUAUCACCAGGUGAGCGAUAGUGAACAAGUACCGUGAGGGAAAGGUGAAAAGAACCGCGGGAGCGGAGUGAAAGAGAACCUGAAACCGUAUGCCUACAAGAAGUCAGAGCCCGUUAAAGGGUGAUGGCGUGCCUUUUGUAGAAUGAACCGGCGAGUUACGAUAUAGUGCGAGGUUAAGUUGGAGAGACGGAGCCGAAGCGAAAGCGAGUCUUAAUAGGGCGAUAGUAGGAUAUCGUAGACCCGAAACCAGGUGAUCUAGCCAUGACCAGGUUGAAGUUCAGGUGAAACUGAAUGGAGGACCGAACCGACCACCGUUGAAAAGUUGGCGGAUGAGUUGUGGCUAGGGGAGAAAUUCCAAUCGAACCUGGAGAUAGCUGGUUCUCCCCGAAAUAGCUUUAGGGCUAGCGUCGGGCGAUGGGACACGGAGGUAGAGCACUGAACGUACGAUGGCGCCAUCCCGGUGUACUGAGUAUGAUCAAACUGCGAAUGCCGUGUCAGAGGAGCCCGGCAGUCAGACCAUGGGUGAUAAGGUCCGUGGUCGAGAGGGAAACAGCCCAGACCGCCAGAUAAGGUCCCAAAAUACAUGCUAAGUGGAAAAGGAUGUGGGGAUGCACAGACAACUAGGAGGUUGGCUCAGAAGCAGCCACCCUUUAAAGAGUGCGUAACAGCUCACUAGUCGAGUGACCCUGCGCCGAAAAUGUACCGGGGCUAAGCAUGAUACCGAAGCUGCGGAUUCUGAUGAAUGGUAGGGGAGCGUUGCAUGCACGUGGAAGCCGUACCGGAAGGAACGGUGGAGAGCAUGGAAGAGAGAAUGCCGGUGUGAGUAGCGAGAUGCAGGUGAGAAUCCUGCACACCGAAAGCCCAAGGAUUCCAGGGGAAGGUUCGUCCGCCCUGGGUAAGUCGGGACCUAACGCGAGGCCGAAAGGCGUAGUGGAUGGAAAACAGGCAGAUAUUCCUGUACCCGUAAUGCAAGUGAUGGAGUGACGGAGAAGGCUAGUGUGACCCUAUGAAUGGAUUUAGGGCGAAGCGGAGCAGCAGGCUUACAGUGAAAUGCGUAAGCGAGAUGCAGGACGCGAAAGGUAAGCGAACGCGCGAGCAAGUAGCGAAGCACAUGAGGCCAGCUUCCAAGAAAAGCUUCUGGCGCAAAUUGGAUUACGGCCCGUACCAAAACCGACACAGGUGGGCAAGGAGAGUAUCCUAAGGUGAGCGAGAGAACUGUUGCCAAGGAACUCGGCAAAAAUACUCCGUAAGUUCGCGAGAAGGAGUGCUCUUGAGAGAGAGCCGCAGCGAAGAGGCCCAAGCGACUGUUUAACUAAAACACAGCUCUCUGCGAAGUCGCAAGACGAAGUAUAGGGGGUGACGCCUGCCCGGUGCUGGAAGGUUAAGGGGAGGAGUUAUCGAAAGAGAAGCUCUGAACCGAAGCCCCAGUGAACGGCGGCCGUAACUAUAACGGUCCUAAGGUAGCGAAAUUCCUUGUCAGGUAAGUUCUGACCCGCACGAAAGGUGUAAUGAUUUGGGCACUGUCUCGGCAGCAGACUCGGUGAAAUCUUAGUACCUGUGAAGAUGCAGGUUACCCGCAACUAGACGGAAAGACCCCAUGGAGCUUUACUGCAGUCUGCUAUUGAGUUUCGGUUGGAUAUGCACAGGAUAGGUGGGAGACGAUGAGACGUGGAUUUCGGUCUACGAGGAGUCACUGUUGGGAUACCACUCUUAUUCAACUGGAAUUCUAACUGAUAUCCGUGAUCCGGAUACAGGACCGUGGCAGAUGGGCAGUUUGACUGGGGCGGUCGCCUCCCAAAGAGUAACGGAGGCGCACAAAGGUACUCUCAGAAUGGUUGGAAAUCAUUCAGCGAGCGCAAACGCAGAAGAGUGCUUGACUGCGAGACAUACAGGUCGAGCAGGGACGAAAGUCGGUGUUAGUGAUCCGGCGGUGCAGAAUGGAAUGGCCGUCGCUUAACGGAUAAAAGCUACCCUGGGGAUAACAGGCUGAUCUCGCCCAAGAGUUCACAUCGACGGCGAGGUUUGGCACCUCGAUGUCGGCUCAUCGCAUCCUGGAGCUGGAUUCGGUUCCAAGGGUUGGGCUGUCCGCCCAUUAAAGCGGUACGCGAGCUGGGUUCAGAACGUCGUGAGACAGUUCGGUCCCUAUCUGUUGUGGGCGUUGGAAAUUUGAGGAGAGCUGCCCCUAGUACGAGAGGACCAGGGUGGACGUUCCUACGGUGCACCAGUUGUCACGCCAGUGGCACAGCUGGAUAGCUGAGAACGGACCGGAUAAACGCUGAAGGCAUCUAAGCGUGAAACCGACUCCAAGAUUAGAUUUCCCAUUGUUUCAAACAAAUAAGACCCCUUGAAGACGACGAGGUUGAUAGGUCAGGGAUGUAAGUACAGUGAUGUAUUGAGUUGACUGAUACUAAUAGGUCGAAGGUUUAUUCAC